Molecule: transfer RNA, 73 nt
Filed under: Salmo salar (Atlantic salmon)
Lineage: Eukaryota; Metazoa; Chordata; Actinopteri; Salmoniformes; Salmonidae
Also listed under: 1 other name
Rfam family: tRNA
About the family: Transfer RNA (tRNA) molecules are approximately 80 nucleotides in length. Their secondary structure includes four short double-helical elements and three loops (D, anti-codon, and T loops).
Source: Rfam by way of RNAcentral
UCCUGUGUGGCUCAGUUGGUAGAGCAUGGUGUUUGCAACGCCAGGGUUGUGGGUUCGAUUCCCACGGGGGGAC